GGGAAGAGUGAGAUCGGGGAAUGAGGAAGGAGAUUGACAAGUAGAGCAGAGGGAAUGGGUAGAUCAGAGAAUGGAUAGCAAAUCAAAGAGAAAAGCAGAGAAAGGGAGAUGCGAUCCUUGCCUGCGACGCUGCGUUGAAGAUAUGGAGAUGUAGGAAUGCAUUGAUAUUCAAACAAUAGUAGCAAGUAUUUGAGGAGAUUCUACUGGCGGCAACCAAGUUGCGAGAAGAAUAGACAGCUAAUGUUACACAAGGCCCAAAUUCACCACCGGCUCCCGAAAUGCAACAUGUUCAAUCUUAGUCACUACCAACACAACAUUCACUCAAAUUGAACUUUGAUGCAGCAUUAGAUAAGAGAUGUAACAAAGGAGCUGCAGUUGUGGUAUGUCGCAAUCAUUUAGGCCACAUAAUAGAAUAUAGAUGUAGCUUAUGGCCUGAUAUUCGAGACCUGCUUCUCAUAGACUCUUAUCAAGAGAACUUUGUAUUUCAUGUUUUGCCACCUUGAUGGCUUUUAUGAAUUAUCUGCCUUUGUUAUUUAAAAAUAAAAAAAAUA
Molecule: unclassified non-coding RNA, 551 nt
Filed under: Hevea brasiliensis (rubber tree)
Lineage: Eukaryota; Viridiplantae; Streptophyta; Magnoliopsida; Malpighiales; Euphorbiaceae
Source: RNAcentral